AGAUGCAAGUACGCCAGUAUUUGCGGAGCCGCUGGUGGGAUACCAACCUUGUUUUAUUGGAAUUCUAACGAGAAGCGUAACGAGCUUGCGGACAGUCUCAGGCGGGCAGUUUGACUGGGGCGGUCGCCUCCGAAAGAGUAACGGAGGCGCCCAAAGGUUCCCUCAGCGCGGACGGAAACCGCGCGAAGAGUGCAAAGGCAGAAGGGAGCUUGACUGCGAGACGGACAGGUCGAGCAGGGACGAAAGUCGGGCUUAGUGAUCCGGUGGUAGAGAGUGGAAUUGCCAUCGCUCAACGGAUAAAAGCUACCCUGGGGAUAACAGGCUUAUCUCUCCCAAGAGUCCAUAUCGACGGGGAGGUUUGGCACCUCGAUGUCGGCUCAUCACAUCCUGGGGCUGAAGUAGGUCCCAAGGGUUGGGCUGUUCGCCCAUUAAAGUGGUACGCGAGCUGGGUUCAGAACGUCGUGAGACAGUUCGGUCCCUAUCCAUCGCGGGCGUAAGAAACUUGAAAGGGGCUGCUCCUAGUACGAGAGGACCGGAGUGGACCGACCAAUGGUGUACCAGUCAUGGCGCCAGCCGUGCAGCUGGGUAGCUACGUCGGGGACGGAUAAACGCUGAAAGCAUCUAAGCGUGAAACCAGCCUAGAGAUGAGGUUUCUCAUUGUUUUAACAAGUAAGGUCCCACAAAGACGAUGUGGUUGAUAGGCCGGGAGUGGAAGUACAGCGAUGUACGGAGCGGACCGGUACUAAUAGACCGAGGACUUGACUUA
RNAcentral lists this ribosomal RNA (766 nucleotides) under Megasphaera elsdenii. RNAcentral's name for it is "bacterial LSU rRNA". It matches the Rfam family "Bacterial large subunit ribosomal RNA", at positions 2158 to 2925 of the family's 2925-position model. Lineage: Bacteria; Bacillati; Bacillota; Negativicutes; Veillonellales; Veillonellaceae. The record is from RNAcentral.